GCGUGAGAAUUUGCCUUUAGGAGGGGGAUAACAACUAGAAAUGGUUGCUAAUACCCCAUAUGCUUUCGAGUGAAAUGGAUUUCCGCCUAAAGAGAAGCUUGCGGCUGAUUAGCUUGUUGGUGAGGUAACGGCUCACCAAGGCGACGAUCAGUAUCUGGUUUGAGAGGACGACCAGACACACUGGAACUGAGACACGGUCCAGACUCCUACGGGAGGCAGCAGUGGGGAAUUUUCCGCAAUGGGCGAAAGCCUGACGGAGCAAUACCGCGUGAGGGAUGACGGCCUAUGGGUUGUAAACCUCUUUUUUCAGGGAGGAAUAAAUGACGUGUACCUGAAGAAUAAGCAUCGGCUAACUCCGUGCCAGCAGCCGCGGUAAGACGGGGGAUGCAAGUGUUAUCCGGAAUCACUGGGCGUAAAGCGUCUGUAGGUGGUUUGAUAAGUCAACUGUUAAAUCUUGAGGCUCAACCUCAAAAUCGCGGUCGAAACUAUUAGACUAGAGUAUAGUAGGGGUAAAGGGAAUUUCCAGUGGAGCGGUGAAAUGCGUAGAUAUUGGAAGGAACACCGAUGGCGAAGGCACUUUACUGGGCUAUUACUAACACUCAGAGACGAAAGCUAGGGUAGCAAAUGGGAUUA
This 633-nucleotide ribosomal RNA is filed under the name Bacillariophyta sp. 1 MAB-2013. Its description in RNAcentral is "SSU rRNA". It matches the Rfam family "Bacterial small subunit ribosomal RNA", at positions 115 to 780 of the family's 1533-position model. Lineage: Eukaryota; Bacillariophyta. The record is from RNAcentral.